Molecule: ribosomal RNA, 2925 nt
Filed under: Klebsiella pneumoniae
Lineage: Bacteria; Pseudomonadati; Pseudomonadota; Gammaproteobacteria; Enterobacterales; Enterobacteriaceae
Description: bacterial LSU rRNA
Rfam family: Bacterial large subunit ribosomal RNA
Source: RNAcentral
GGGUUGUGAGGUUAAGCGACUAAGCGUACACGGUGGAUGCCCUGGCAGUCAGAGGCGAUGAAGGACGUGCUAAUCUGCGAAAAGCGUCGGUAAGGUGAUAUGAACCGUUAUAACCGGCGAUGUCCGAAUGGGGAAACCCAGUGCAAUUCGUUGCACUAUCGUUAACUGAAUACAUAGGUUAACGAGGCGAACCGGGGGAACUGAAACAUCUAAGUACCCCGAGGAAAAGAAAUCAACCGAGAUUCCCCCAGUAGCGGCGAGCGAACGGGGAGCAGCCCAGAGUCUGAAUCAGCUUGUGUGUUAGUGGAACGGUCUGGAAAGUCCGACGGUACAGGGUGAUAGUCCCGUACACCAAAAUGCACAGGCUGUGAACUCGAAGAGUAGGGCGGGACACGUGGUAUCCUGUCUGAAUAUGGGGGGACCAUCCUCCAAGGCUAAAUACUCCUGACUGACCGAUAGUGAACCAGUACCGUGAGGGAAAGGCGAAAAGAACCCCGGCGAGGGGAGUGAAAAAGAACCUGAAACCGUGUACGUACAAGCAGUGGGAGCACCUUCGGGUGUGACUGCGUACCUUUUGUAUAAUGGGUCAGCGACUUAUAUUCUGUAGCAAGGUUAACCGUAUAGGGGAGCCGCAGGGAAACCGAGUCUUAACUGGGCGUUAAGUUGCAGGGUAUAGACCCGAAACCCGGUGAUCUAGCCAUGGGCAGGUUGAAGGUUGGGUAACACUAACUGGAGGACCGAACCGACUAAUGUUGAAAAAUUAGCGGAUGACUUGUGGCUGGGGGUGAAAGGCCAAUCAAACCGGGAGAUAGCUGGUUCUCCCCGAAAGCUAUUUAGGUAGCGCCUCGUGAAUUCAUCUUCGGGGGUAGAGCACUGUUUCGGCUAGGGGGUCAUCCCGACUUACCAACCCGAUGCAAACUACGAAUACCGAAGAAUGUUAUCACGGGAGACACACGGCGGGUGCUAACGUCCGUCGUGAAGAGGGAAACAACCCAGACCGCCAGCUAAGGUCCCAAAGUCAUGGUUAAGUGGGAAACGAUGUGGGAAGGCACAGACAGCCAGGAUGUUGGCUUAGAAGCAGCCAUCAUUUAAAGAAAGCGUAAUAGCUCACUGGUCGAGUCGGCCUGCGCGGAAGAUGUAACGGGGCUAAACCAUGCACCGAAGCUGCGGCAGCGACACUAUGUGUUGUUGGGUAGGGGAGCGUUCUGUAAGCCUGUGAAGGUGACCUGUGAGGGUUGCUGGAGGUAUCAGAAGUGCGAAUGCUGACAUAAGUAACGAUAAAGCGGGUGAAAAGCCCGCUCGCCGGAAGACCAAGGGUUCCUGUCCAACGUUAAUCGGGGCAGGGUGAGUCGACCCCUAAGGCGAGGCCGAAAGGCGUAGUCGAUGGGAAACAGGUUAAUAUUCCUGUACUUGGUGUUACUGCGAAGGGGGGACGGAGAAGGCUAUGUUAGCCGGGCGACGGUUGUCCCGGUUUAAGCAUGUAGGCGGAGGUUCCAGGUAAAUCCGGUACCUUUUAACGCUGAGGUGUGAUGACGAGGCACUACGGUGCUGAAGUAACAAAUGCCCUGCUUCCAGGAAAAGCCUCUAAGCAUCAGGUAACAUUAAAUCGUACCCCAAACCGACACAGGUGGUCAGGUAGAGAAUACCAAGGCGCUUGAGAGAACUCGGGUGAAGGAACUAGGCAAAAUGGUGCCGUAACUUCGGGAGAAGGCACGCUGGUGUGUAGGUGAAGUCCCUGCGGAUGGAGCUGAGACCAGUCGAAGAUACCAGCUGGCUGCAACUGUUUAUUAAAAACACAGCACUGUGCAAACACGAAAGUGGACGUAUACGGUGUGACGCCUGCCCGGUGCCGGAAGGUUAAUUGAUGGGGUUAUCCGUAAGGAGAAGCUCUUGAUCGAAGCCCCGGUAAACGGCGGCCGUAACUAUAACGGUCCUAAGGUAGCGAAAUUCCUUGUCGGGUAAGUUCCGACCUGCACGAAUGGCGUAAUGAUGGCCAGGCUGUCUCCACCCGAGACUCAGUGAAAUUGAACUCGCUGUGAAGAUGCAGUGUACCCGCGGCAAGACGGAAAGACCCCGUGAACCUUUACUAUAGCUUGACACUGAACAUUGAGCCUUGAUGUGUAGGAUAGGUGGGAGGCUUUGAAGCGUGGACGCCAGUCUGCGUGGAGCCAACCUUGAAAUACCACCCUUUAAUGUUUGAUGUUCUAACGUUGGCCCCUUACCGGGGUUGCGGACAGUGUCUGGUGGGUAGUUUGACUGGGGCGGUCUCCUCCUAAAGCGUAACGGAGGAGCACGAAGGUUAGCUAAUCCUGGUCGGACAUCAGGAGGUUAGUGCAAUGGCAUAAGCUAGCUUGACUGCGAGCGUGACGGCGCGAGCAGGUGCGAAAGCAGGUCAUAGUGAUCCGGUGGUUCUGAAUGGAAGGGCCAUCGCUCAACGGAUAAAAGGUACUCCGGGGAUAACAGGCUGAUACCGCCCAAGAGUUCAUAUCGACGGCGGUGUUUGGCACCUCGAUGUCGGCUCAUCACAUCCUGGGGCUGAAGUAGGUCCCAAGGGUAUGGCUGUUCGCCAUUUAAAGUGGUACGCGAGCUGGGUUUAGAACGUCGUGAGACAGUUCGGUCCCUAUCUGCCGUGGGCGCUGGAGAAUUGAGGGGGGCUGCUCCUAGUACGAGAGGACCGGAGUGGACGCAUCACUGGUGUUCGGGUUGUCAUGCCAAUGGCACUGCCCGGUAGCUAAAUGCGGAAGAGAUAAGUGCUGAAAGCAUCUAAGCACGAAACUUGCCCCGAGAUGAGUUCUCCCUGAGACUUUAAGUCUCCUGAAGGAACGUUGAAGACGACGACGUUGAUAGGCCGGGUGUGUAAGCGCAGCGAUGCGUUGAGCUAACCGGUACUAAUGAACCGUGAGGCUUAACCUUACAACGCCGAAG